CAGUUCCUGACACAUGAUUAUGGCUCAGUAAAUCUUAACUAUCAUUCUUACCAUGACUGGAGUUGAAGUCCCAGCUCCAAAACUCUGUAAUAAAAAGAAAGUUACCUUCUCUCUGAGCCUCGGUGUUCUCAUUUGGAAAAAAUGGAGAUUACCAUGCCCGCCUAUCUCCUAAAGUUAAGAAAAUCCAAUGGAAGACAGUAAGUAAAAUUACCUUGCCUGUUACAAGAAUCUACGGAGUAUUACCCUUUUUACAUUUUCUUUUAAGGUAGUACCUUACUUAGGUAUCAUCACCGGAAAAACAACAAUAAUUGUGUAGAAGCCUAGCUGAGGCUAUAGAAAAUGUAAGAAAUAGAAAAUCUGACUUACAAUUUUGUCACAUAGCUGCCUUUGAUAACAUAUUUGAAGGAGACUCAAAGAUUCUCUAACUUUUAUUUGAGGUUAAAUUCUUCCCAAAGCUGCAUACCUGAACCAUGAAUACUUAGUUCUCAGUAAAAAUAUCUUCUCUGAAUUAUUUAUUAAUACAAGGCUAUUACACUUAAGAAUUAAUCUAAGAAAUGGCCAUGUGAAGCAAGUUCUGCCUCAUUUAUAAAGUUCCCAUUGAAAACAUUUGUCCAUUCUUCUACUCAGCAUUUCUAAGGAUCUACACAAUAAAUACCAGCAAAAACUUAAUACGGAGACUCAUUUCAGUGCCUUUUUCUGUACAUUUACAAUUCUGCCUAUGAUACAAUGAGCACAAUGCGUCUUAGUUCAUACCCUGGUUUAUUAAGGGGAUUGCACAUGGCCUGGAACUGGCCAGCUGACAAGGAUUUAGGUCAAAUGGGGACAAGCUGCUCAUUUCCCCCUCUUACAGACUAUCUCUUCCUUGACUUGGCACAUCCCUCUUGUCCUUUGCUUACUCAUGAUUUCUGCUUGUGACUAACCUGGCCCAGGUACUGCCUCAUGACCUCUUUCUGGCCUCACCUCACUAACUGGACACAUUCUUUCUUUCCUGCAGUUCAAAUCCCUGAGGGAAGGUAUGUGAUUGCCUCAGCCAAGCACUGGCUCAUCUGUUUAGGAAGAGCCUUUCGUGCAGGCCCUUCUCGUCUGCUGGCAAGCUGGAGAUGGGCCACCUGGAACGGGGGGACCGUUCUUAGUUCAGCCAGGACAGGACAGAGCUGCUGAUCCACAACGUGCUGUCCAGGCAACUUCCCUGACUGAGAAACCGGUGAAGAGAUUGAGGCCUUAUAUCUGGUUCAUUUGGAGCAGACCCUCCAUAUUGUGGGAUCUUAGAGCAUAAAGGCAAAGAAAAUCAUAAAAAAAGUUCCCACCAGGUUUUGAAGAACCUCAAUUUCAUCACCUGCAAGAUGGUAAUCAUACCAAUCCUAUCCUUCAUCACCUGACUGCUGUGAGAAUUGAAUGGGAAAAGUCAAGGUAUGGAAGCAACAUAAAGAUCCAUUAACAGAUGAAUGGAUAAAGAAGAUAUUUU
Molecule: long non-coding RNA, 1465 nt
Organism: Bubalus bubalis (water buffalo)
Lineage: Eukaryota; Metazoa; Chordata; Mammalia; Artiodactyla; Bovidae
Exons: 4
Source: RefSeq, a predicted model, not a curated record